RNAcentral lists this unclassified non-coding RNA (317 nucleotides) under Haliotis rubra (blacklip abalone). RNAcentral describes it as "uncharacterized LOC124289922, transcript variant X1". The record is from RNAcentral. Lineage: Eukaryota; Metazoa; Mollusca; Gastropoda; Lepetellida; Haliotidae.
CAACUUCACUAUUGGUACCGCCAUUUUGUCGUUAUCAAGUUUUGCUGUCAUAUUGCUGAAUUUCUCAUCUGUUUGCCUCACAGUUCGCCCGACGCCAGUUGUAAUCACCAUGAGUUCAUACAGCCAAGCUCUUGACCUCGUCAUCAGGUUCCCUUUGAACUUUGACAUCUGGGCCCCUCCUCGCCAAGUAGAAGACAGGCAGCUAUCCUCUGGCUACAGAUCACCGAGUCGUCAAAAAGAAUCUCUCCAGCAAAUGUGUAUGGGGCCUGUUAUAAACAUGUAACAGUGAAAUAUUGUAAUAAAAUUAUUAUGUGAAA